This 253-nucleotide ribosomal RNA is filed under the name uncultured bacterium. RNAcentral describes it as "partial 16S ribosomal RNA". It matches the Rfam family "Bacterial small subunit ribosomal RNA", at positions 524 to 776 of the family's 1533-position model. The record is from RNAcentral.
UACGGGGGGGGCAAGCGUUGUUCGGAAUUACUGGGCGUAAAGGGCUCGUAGGCGGCCAACUAAGUCAGACGUGAAAUCCCUCGGCUUAACCGGGGAACUGCGUCUGAUACUGGAUGGCUAGAGGUUGGGAGAGGGAUGCGGAAUUCCAGGUGUAGCGGUGAAAUGCGUAGAUAUCUGGAGGAACACCGGUGGCGAAGGCGGCGUUCUGGACUGCAUCUGACACUGAAAGACGAAAGCCAGGGGAGCAAACGGG